Molecule: ribosomal RNA, 484 nt
Filed under: uncultured bacterium
Lineage: Bacteria
Description: partial 16S ribosomal RNA
Rfam family: Bacterial small subunit ribosomal RNA
Source: RNAcentral
AUUGAACGCUGGCGGCAGGCCUAACACAUGCAAGUCGAGCGGAUGACGGGAGCUUGCUCCUUGAUUCAGCGGCGGACGGGUGAGUAAUGCCUAGGAAUCUGCCUGGUAGUGGGGGACAACGUUCCGAAAGGGGCGCUAAUACCGCAUACGUCCUACGGGAGAAAGUGGGGGAGCUUCGGACCUCACGCUAUCAGAUGAGCCUAGGUCGGAUUAGCUAGUUGGUGAGGUAAAGGCUCACCAAGGCGACGAUCCGUAACUGGUCUGAGAGGAUGAUCAGUCACACUGGAACUGAGACACGGUCCAGACUCCUACGGGAGGCAGCAGUGGGGAAUAUUGGACAAUGGGCGAAAGCCUGAUCCAGCCAUGCCGCGUGUGUGAAGAAGGUCUUCGGAUUGUAAAGCACUUUAAGUUGGGAGGAAGGGCAGUAAGUUAAUACCUUGCUGUUUUGACGUUACCGACAGAAUAAGCACCGGCUAACUCUGUG